UGGGGAAUUUUGGACAAUGGGCGAAAGCCUGAUCCAGCCAUGCCGCGUGAGUGAAGAAGGCCUUCGGGUUGUAAAGCUCUUUUAGUCGGAAAGAAAGAGUUGUAAUGAAUAAUUGUGAUUUAUGACGGUACCGACAGAAAAAGCACCGGCUAACUACGUGCCAGCAUCCGCGGUAAUACGUAGGGUGCGAGCGUUAAUCGGAAUUACUGGGCGUAAAGGGUGCGCAGGCGGUCUUGCAAGUCAGAUGUGAAAGCCCCGGGCUUAACCUGGGAAUUGCGUUUGAAACUACAAGGCUAGAGUGCAGCAGAGGGGAGUGGAAUUCCAUGUGUAGCAGUGAAAUGCGUAGAGAUGUGGAAGAACACCGAUGGCGAAGGCAGCUCCCUGGGUUGACACUGACGCUCAUGCACGAAAGCGUGGGGAGCAAACA
RNAcentral lists this ribosomal RNA (427 nucleotides) under uncultured beta proteobacterium. Its description in RNAcentral is "bacterial SSU rRNA". It matches the Rfam family "Bacterial small subunit ribosomal RNA", at positions 355 to 774 of the family's 1533-position model. Lineage: Bacteria; Pseudomonadati; Pseudomonadota; Betaproteobacteria. The record is from RNAcentral.